UGGGGAAUAUUGGACAGUGGGCGAAAGCCUGAUCCAGCAAUGCCGCGUGAGUGAUGAAGGCCUUAGGGUUGUAAAGCUCUUUUACCCGGGAUGAUAAUGACAGUACCGGGAGAAUAAGCUCCGGCUAACUCCGUGCCAGCAGCCGCGGUAAUACGGAGGGAGCUAGCGUUAUUCGGAAUUACUGGGCGUAAAGCGCACGUAGGCGGCUUUGUAAGUUAGAGGUGAAAGCCUGGAGCUCAACUCCAGAAUUACCUUUAAGACUGCAUCGCUUGAAUCCAGGAGAGGUGAGUGGAAUUCCGAGUGUAGAGGUGAAAUUCGUAGAUAUUCGGAAGAACACCAGUGGCGAAGGCGGCUCACUGGACUGGUAUUGACGCUGAGGUGCGAAAGCGUGGGGAGCAAGCAGGAUUAGAUACCCUGGUAGUCCACGCCGUAAACGAUGAUAACUAGCUGUCGGGGCUCUUAGAGCUUCGGUGGCGCAGCUAACGCAUUAAG
This 492-nucleotide ribosomal RNA is filed under the name uncultured Pseudomonadota bacterium. Its description in RNAcentral is "bacterial SSU rRNA". It matches the Rfam family "Bacterial small subunit ribosomal RNA", at positions 355 to 864 of the family's 1533-position model. The record is from RNAcentral. Lineage: Bacteria; Pseudomonadati; Pseudomonadota.